GGUUAUAGCUCAGCGGUAGAGUGCUUGUCUUAUACUUGUGAGGUACUGGGUUCGAUCCUCAGCACCA
This 67-nucleotide transfer RNA is filed under the name Marmota monax (woodchuck). RNAcentral's name for it is "tRNA.Ile". Lineage: Eukaryota; Metazoa; Chordata; Mammalia; Rodentia; Sciuridae. The record is from RNAcentral.